This 273-nucleotide ribosomal RNA is filed under the name uncultured Staphylococcus sp. RNAcentral describes it as "partial 16S ribosomal RNA". It matches the Rfam family "Bacterial small subunit ribosomal RNA", at positions 90 to 354 of the family's 1533-position model. Lineage: Bacteria; Bacillati; Bacillota; Bacilli; Caryophanales; Staphylococcaceae. The record is from RNAcentral.
CGUUAGCGGCGGACGGGUGAGUAACACGUGGGUAACCUACCUAUAAGACUGGGAUAACUUCGGGAAACCGGAGCUAAUACCGGAUAAUAUUUCGAACCGCAUGGUUCGAUAGUGAAAGAUGGUUUUGCUAUCACUUAUAGAUGGACCCGCGCCGUAUUAGCUAGUUGGUAAGGUAACGGCUUACCAAGGCGACGAUACGUAGCCGACCUGAGAGGGUGAUCGGCCACACUGGNAACUGAGACACGGUCCAGACUCCUACGGGAGGCAGCAGAC